GUGGAUGAGGGAGGGAGAGUGUGCUUUAAUUUUUCGAUUUAAUGCAAUUCUGGCUUCCCGAUUUCAAACAGCUUCUUUUGUGUUAGCAUAGUUUAUUUUGGGAAAACAGUAGUCCUUUGGGAUUUCUUCCUACUCCUCUUCUCUUUCUCUUUGUAUAAGGGGGCCUGAGUUGAAGGGGAAGCUCAUGUAACAUCCUGGUGGAGGGCAAGGAGUUCUCAAGAGUGUCCCUCGGUCCUUUCUGGCCUCACCUGAGUGACGCCUCCUCUUUCCUGGUACUAAGCAUCCUGCAGGUGUGUCUGCUGAAGGCUCCUGUGUACAUCUGUGGACAAGGCCUCUGCCUCUGCCUGGAGGUCCCUGGAUCUGGAGCCUCCUGUACUGACUGUCUUUCUUCUGAUCUCCUGGUCUUUUCAGCAUUGCUGAGGUCCCCAGAGGCUGGGAAACCUUCUGCCACUAUCUCCCGCCCUGGCUCAUUGUGCAAGGCUCUGGGUGGCUGCUUUUGUGCUCUCCCUCCAUCUGUGCUUCUCUACUUGCUCCCAGUCUACACUGGACGAUCUAGCCCCCAACGCAGGCCUUCUCCAAAGGCUUUCAGGCUUUUCAGGCAAUGCCCAAGGACAGAGAAACCUGACCUCAGUAUUCUAGUCAUUUCUCAAACCUAUAGAGAGUUUCUAACCACCUCCUCUCACUGCCACUCUCAAGGUUCUCCUGAGGGGUGGUGGACAAGGAAGCGAGGACCCUCCUCGGGCUGACCACUGCCCGUUCUCUCCUCUGUUCCUGAUCCCUCCAAUUCCCUUCUGGGUGGAAGGAGAUCCCCAUAAUGUCAGGUCACCCUCUUUCCCCACUUUAUGGAAGGUUUCUACUGAUUUAUUGAUGCAUUUCUACUUUAUUGCAUUAUUGAUGCAUUUCUUUGGUCUAGGUGGAACUAAACUUACCUUUGCUCAGCACAGUAGGCCUUGGAGGUACAACAGGGUGUAUUUCAGAAGGAGUAUCCGCAAUGUCUAAAGGGGCAAGCCUCUGAAAGUCUCCUUUGACGUAGUGAGUCUCUGCAGACCAUUGGUCGGGUCUGUUGUUGACAGGCCCAGAUGUGAGUUGGAAGAGCUGGAGCCCCAUGGAGUCAGGUUCCCCACAUCCUGCCUUCUCUGUCCAGCUCGACAAAACCUAUCACUGUGUCACGUUUCAGUCCCACAGUGAGUGUUGACUGAAUGACUGGCUGGCUGAGAGAAGCCACAGGGCAGACGGAUGCAUCCGGCAAUCAGAACUGGAGAGCACUGUUGUGGAGUCGAAAUGAUGGUGAACCAUGAACCCUAGAGGCAGUUGUGGCAUGUGGGAUGCCGCCUCAGCGUGGUUUGAU
Molecule: long non-coding RNA, 1348 nt
Filed under: Equus caballus (horse)
Lineage: Eukaryota; Metazoa; Chordata; Mammalia; Perissodactyla; Equidae
Description: lncRNA (ENSECAG00000047181.1)
Source: RNAcentral